Molecule: long non-coding RNA, 621 nt
Filed under: Carica papaya (papaya)
Lineage: Eukaryota; Viridiplantae; Streptophyta; Magnoliopsida; Brassicales; Caricaceae
Description: long non-coding RNA (CPAP_LNC003844)
Source: RNAcentral
UCAAUGAUAUGUUACAAUACAAUAACUACAAUUGUAACUCCCACAAUAACUAGGUUAAUUAUGUAGUAAUUACAAUUGUCACUCUAACAAUAACUAGGCAAUUAUAGGCAUGUAAUUGUUAUGUAAUUUCUUGUAACUCCAAUCUUCUUAACCAACACCACUAAUUGUUUGUGGCACCAUAUAGUUAUGGGCUCAUUUUUGUAAUAACACUAAGACAAGAGUUAAGCCCAAAAUGAGUUAUACUUAAGUAUAUGGGCUUAAUUAACUCAAACUAAAAUAAAACAAUUCAAAAUACUUAAAAAAAUUCAACUAAUCCAGCCCAUAUACAAGGUUUAUUCAUCCAUUAUCAAUAAGACUCAAACAAGCCCAAAUUAUCCCAAAUCACUUAAAUCCAAUUAAAGUUACGAAUUUGAGUUGUUCAAAAAGCUCAUAUUUGAACUUUCCACAAUUGGCCAGCCCAUCAUCCACAUGUUUUUUGAGUAAAAACUUGGAGCAACUCUUUAAACUUCUUUGCCUUUGAUCUUGUUACUGGUCUGUUGAAAUUUUUUAGGUUUGGAACUAUAUUUGUGUUUACAUCAUUUGAAAUUUGCUCCAAGUCACCUUCUGAUGCUCUUUGAGUAU